Zonotrichia albicollis (white-throated sparrow) is the source of this 1919-nucleotide long non-coding RNA. NCBI's taxonomy places the organism in Eukaryota, Metazoa, Chordata, Aves, Passeriformes, Passerellidae. The record is from Ensembl.
GUGCAGUGCAAACAAAAGGGAGGAUUAACAGAGGCAGGGCAGCUUGGACGGGCUGAUUUUCCAGGGACAGACCCAAAUGAAGCAGGAGAGCUCUGCCCCCCUCCCUGAACCCUUCCCUCUCUCCAUUUCAGUGCAGGAGCUGUCCCUGGAGCUUCCAAGCCCAGAUCCAGCAGCAUCCUGCACCUGGGGCUCUCCCUUGCACCUCUGUGGUCCCAUCUCCCUCCAAGGAGGAGCCAGGGUCCCCCCAGACCCCUUAUUCACCCUGGGCCUCCUGCCAAGCAUCAGCUGCUCCACACACUCCUUCCCUGUGCUCCUGCCAGGGAGGAGAUGGAUGGGGUGCUCAGCCCUGGCAUUUGAACCUGGGGCUGGGAACCCAGCUGUCCCCAGCCCUUGCUCCAUGUGGGACAAUUCCAGCACCCUCGGCUGCUUUCUGAUUGUCUCAGCCACUUUGCCUUGUUGUUCUUGUUAAAGGCAGCUCUCAAUAAGUAGUUCACUAACUCAGCCAUUUGAGAAUCAUCAUUAAUUUAAUAUCCUCCUUCCUCAUUUAUUAAUGGGCCUACUUUGUCUUGACUCUCCAGUAUUUCCUUUUCCCCUUGAUAUAUUUGUAAAAGCCCUUCCUAUUCCCCUCAGCUGCAUGGCUACCACUAAUGUUUGCUUUUCCUGCUGUCUUUAACAUUUCUCUUCAACCUUAAAUGACUUGGGCUCCUCUGGCUUCUAUCAGCCCCCAUGCAGGGCUUUCCCAUUCCGUGCCAGAGCUGUCCUGCUGCGGGCCAGCCCCAGGAGGCAGCAGGGCCCUGCUGCUCUGGCAGCUCCUGCUGGAUCCUCAAAGAGCUCAGGGACUUGCUUUUGUCCUGAGAGAGGACAAAAUACCCACUGUGAGGGCUUCCAGAGAGACCCUGGGGACAGGGAUGAGCAGGGAGAGGCAGUGGGAGGCUGGGGAGGGUUCAGGGAUGCACCCCGAGGUCACUGCUCCCCCGACUGUGAGCCCAGCUGUGCCUUCGGGGCACUGCCACAUUCCUGGGCCCAGCACCAGCCCUGUGGGAGGAGUUCUUCAGGUCCCGGCUGUGCCUGUGGUGGCAGUCAGGCUGCUGAGCAGGGGGAAGUGCUGGAGAUGGGGGGUCCAGGAUCCAGCAAUGGAGAGGACCAUGAUCCCAUGACUGAGAAGUGCAGGAUCCAAUGCUGGAGAGGAGCAUGAUCCCAUGAUUGGGGUUCCAGGAUGCAGCAAUGGAGAGGAGCAUGAUCCCAUGAUUGGGAGGUCCAGGAUGCUUUGCUGGAGAGGAGCAUGAUCCCAUGAUUGAGAGAUCCAGGAUCCACUGCUGGAGAGGACCAUGAUCCCAUGACUGGGAGGUCCAGAAUCCAGCAAUGGAGACAACCAUGAUCCCAUGACUGGGAAGUCCAGGAUCCACUGCUGAAGAGGACCAUGAUCCCAUGAUUGUGGGAUCCAGGAUGCUUUGCUGGAGAGAUCCAUGAUCCCAUGAGUGGGGGGUUUAGGAUCCAGCAAUGGAGAGGAGCAUGAUCCCAUGAUGGGGGGGUCCAGGAUCCACUGCUGGAGAGGUUCAGAAUCAAAUUUUGUGGAAGGCCAGGAUUUAAUGAUGGGGAGAUUCAGGAUCCAACAAUCCAAAGGUCCAGGAUACACUGAUGGGGAGGUCAAUGAUCCCCCAAUAGGGAGGUCCGGGAUUCAGGGGUGGGGAGGCCCAGGAUCCAACGCUGAGAAGGUCCAGGGCCCUGAAGACUCCUUGUGGGAGGAAAAGGGAGCAGGCAAAAAGUUGCAGGCGGGGCUGUGCCCAGGUGGGAGCCCGGAGCACAUCCCGAGCCAGGGUCGGCUCUGUGCUGUUGCCAAGGUGACGGGAAGCAGAGCUCGGGAUGUGUCUGUUUACAUAAGAAUUGUUGAUUAAUGAACAUCGAGGCGAGAUAAUUUA